GUCUAUGGCCAUGCUACCCUGAACAAGCCCAAUCCGUCUGAUCUCGGAAGCUAAGCAGGGUAAGGCCUGGUUAGUACCUGGAUGGGAGAGCACCUAGGAAGACCAGGUGCUGUAGGUG
Molecule: ribosomal RNA, 118 nt
Filed under: Pteropus alecto (black flying fox)
Lineage: Eukaryota; Metazoa; Chordata; Mammalia; Chiroptera; Pteropodidae
Also listed under: 1 other name
Source: RNAcentral